UGAAAUAACCCAUUAAAGCACAGAAAAGCAGAGACCACCCCUCGUACCUUUUGCAUCAUGAUUCAGCAAGUUAACUCAAGCAAAGAGCACUCUAGUUUGCACCCCCGAAACUUGACGAGCUACUCCGAGACAGCCAUCUAUGGGCCAACCCGUCUCUGUGGCAAAAGAGUGGGAAGAUCUCCGAGUAGAGGCAAAAAACCUACCGAGCCAAGUUAUAGCUGGUUGCCCAAUAAAUGAAUACAAGUUCAGCCCUGCCUAGCCCAACUCACACCAGUUUUACGAAAAAAGACAAAGAGCUAAUCCGCAGGAGUUAAUCAGAGGAGGUACAGCUCCCCUGAUACAGGAUACAACCUUUUUAGGAGACAAAAGAAUAUUGCCAAACAAGGCCUUAGGUCUCAGUGGGCCUGAAAGCAGCCAUCUGACCCGAAAGCGUUAAAGCUCCGACCAAAAGUUGAGCCUUUUAUUAAAUCUAAAUUUCUGCUCCCCUAAAUCUCAUUGGGCCUCUCCAUGCACCCAUGGAAGAGACUAUGCUGAAACGAGUAACAAGAAGAAUGAACUUCUCCACGCACAAGUGUAUGUCAAAUUGGACUAACCAUCGACAAUCAACGAACCCAACAAAAGAGGGCCCUACACACCCGCCACCUCCGACCAAGAAAACCAUGUUCCCCUAAAUCGUUACCCCAACACAGGAGUGCCAGAAAAAGGAAAGACUUAAAGAAAAAAAAGGAACUCGGCAAACCCAGACCUCGCCUGUUUACCAAAAACAUCGCCUCUUGCAUUCUAAAGUAUAAGAGGUCCCACCUGCCCUGUGACUCUAAGUUUAACGGCCGCGGUAUUCUAACCGUGCGAAGGUAGCGCAAUCAAUUGCCUUUUAAAUGAAGGCCUGUAUGAAUGGUAUAACGAGGGUCUAACUGUCUCUUUUUUCUAGUCAGUUAAACUGAUCUGUCCGUGCAGAAGCGGACAUCCCAAUACAAGACGAGAAGACCCUAUGGAGCUUUAGACACUAGCCAACUGUGAAUAAGCGACUGAACUACACAAGUCUUAAAUAUCCACAGCCCCUGGUAAUGUAGUCUUAGGUUGGGGCGACCACGGGAGAAAGCAAAGCUCCCAAGCAGACCGGGACAACCCUUAAGCCAAGAGUUGCAACUCUAAGCCGCAAAAAUUUUGACUGAAAUGAUCCGGUUGAAAAACCGAUUAACGAACCAAGUUACCCUAGGGAUAACAGCGCAAUCCCCUCCCAGAGUCCCUAUCGACGAGGGGGUUUACGACCUCGAUGUUGGAUCAGGACAUCCUAAUGGUGCAGCCGCUAUUAA
RNAcentral lists this ribosomal RNA (1313 nucleotides) under Anchoa lyolepis (shortfinger anchovy). RNAcentral describes it as "partial 16S ribosomal RNA". It matches the Rfam family "Bacterial large subunit ribosomal RNA", at positions 539 to 2568 of the family's 2925-position model. Lineage: Eukaryota; Metazoa; Chordata; Actinopteri; Clupeiformes; Engraulidae. The record is from RNAcentral.